RNAcentral lists this ribosomal RNA (253 nucleotides) under uncultured bacterium. RNAcentral describes it as "partial 16S ribosomal RNA". It matches the Rfam family "Bacterial small subunit ribosomal RNA", at positions 524 to 776 of the family's 1533-position model. The record is from RNAcentral.
UACGUAGGGGGCAAGCGUUGUUCGGAAUUACUGGGCGUAAAGGGCGCGUAGGCGGCAGGCCAAGUCGGGAGUGAAAGCCCGGGGCUCAACCCCGGAAUGUCUUUCGAAACUGGCCAGCUGGAGUGCGGAAGAGGCAACUGGAAUUCCCAGUGUAGCGGUGAAAUGCGUAGAUAUUGGGAAGAACACCUGAGGCGAAGGCGGGUCUCUGGGCCGAUACUGACGCUGAGGAGCGAAAGCGUGGGGAGCGAACAGG